Molecule: ribosomal RNA, 440 nt
Filed under: uncultured bacterium
Lineage: Bacteria
Description: partial 16S ribosomal RNA
Rfam family: Bacterial small subunit ribosomal RNA
Source: RNAcentral
CCUACGGGAGGCAGCAGUGGGGAAUAUUGCACAAUGGAGGGAACUCUGAUGCAGCGACGCCGCGUGAGUGAAGAAGUAACUCGUUAUGUAAAGCUCUAUCAGCAGGGAAGCAAGUGACGGUACCUGAAAAAGAAGCUGCGGCUAAAUACGUGCCAGCAGCCGCGGUCAUACGUAUGGAGCAAGCGUUAUCAGGAUUUACUGGGGUUAAAGGGGGAGUAUGUGGCAGAGCAAGUCCGGAGUGAAAACCCAAAACUGAACUAUGGGAAUGUCUUAGAAACUGCUCAGCUAGAGUACAGGAGAGGCAAGUGGAAUGCUUAGUGUAGCGGUGAAAUGCAUAGAUAUUAGGAGGAACACCAGUGGCGAAGGCGGCUUGCUGGACUGUAACUGACGCUGAGGCUCGAAAGCGUGGGGAGCAAACAGGAUUAGAUACCCUAGUAGUC